UAGACCGAACAUUUUCAUAUGAGAAAAUUUUAUUUAUAUAAUAAAAUGCUUAGAAUCCCUCAUAAGCACUCACCAUUUAUCAGCUGUGCAUCAGAUGCGAGUCACAGUGAAAUGUUAUCCUCCUACACAGGGAUGAAUUAGUGUAUAUCAAGAUAUUAAUUACUAAAGUCUCUAGUAUGUGUUGGUAUUUGUCCUUUUUUUAACCUGAUCAGAGUUCUUUUGAAAGCCUUCCUAUUGAUGUUAAUAGGCACUGAGUUGAGUCCUCUGUCAAUAAACAGAUUUACAAGCAACUGAAUAAGCAAUGAUGAUAACUGAUAUUAAAAUUAUUUUAAGCUGGCUCCAUUCUGCCAUGUCUCCCCUCCGUCUCUUCUCCCUGCUUCCCAACUCUUGUUAGCUACUUUUACUGUCAUUGUUGGAUGGUAACUGUUCAAAAGGACUCACUGCUGGAUACUGAUUGAAAAGAGUGGGCUGUGUCCUUGUUCUGCCUUCUUUCAGGAGUAGAGAGUAAUCCAACACCAUUUUUUUUUUAUCCAGGUGAGGUCAGUUGCUUGGAGGGGUCUCAGCUCACACAUCCAGUAAGUGUAGCAGACUGCUGGCUUGCAGAAGCUUGUAGCAGGCUGCAUACAUCAUACUAGAAGUCUGCAGGCUUCUAGGGGCUACCACCCACCUGUGGGCAGUGAGACCUGACUGCAUGUCUGCUCAGGAGGUUUGAGCCAGCUGAAAGGAAUAAUUAGCUGGC
This is a long non-coding RNA of Gavialis gangeticus (Gharial), 739 nucleotides long. RefSeq lists it as uncharacterized. Lineage: Eukaryota; Metazoa; Chordata; Crocodylia; Gavialidae. The transcript is spliced from 2 exons. The record is from RefSeq and is a predicted model, not a curated record.